Molecule: ribosomal RNA, 500 nt
Filed under: uncultured bacterium
Lineage: Bacteria
Description: partial 16S ribosomal RNA
Rfam family: Bacterial small subunit ribosomal RNA
Source: RNAcentral
AUUGAACGCUGGCGGCAUGCCCUACACAUGCAAGUCGAACGGCAGCACGGAAGCAAUCCUGGUGGCGAGUGGCGAACGGGUGAGUAAAGUAUCGGAACGUGCCCAGUCGUGGGGGAUAACGUAGCGAAAGUUACGCUAAUACCGCAUACGUUCUAUGGAUGAAAGCGGGGGAUCGCAAGACCUCGCGCGAUUGGAGCGGCCGAUAUCAGAUUAGGUAGUUGGUGGGGUAAAGGCUCACCAAGCCGACGAUCUGUAGCUGGUCUGAGAGGACGACCAGCCACACUGGGACUGAGACACGGCCCAGACUCCUACGGGAGGCAGCAGUGGGGAAUUUUGGACAAUGGGCGAAAGCCUGAUCCAGCCAUGCCGCGUGCAGGAUGAAGGCCUUCGGGUUGUAAACUGCUUUUGUACGGAACGAAAAGGUUUGGGCUAAUAAGCUGAGCUCAUGACGGUACCGUAAGAAUAAGCACCGGCUAACUACGUGCCAGCAGCCGCAGUAA